Molecule: ribosomal RNA, 497 nt
Filed under: uncultured bacterium
Lineage: Bacteria
Description: partial 16S ribosomal RNA
Rfam family: Bacterial small subunit ribosomal RNA
Source: RNAcentral
ACUCAAAUGAAUUGACGGGGACCCGCACAAGCAGUGGAGCAUGUGGUUUAAUUCGAUGCAACGCGAAGAACCUUACCCAGGCUUGACAUGCAGUAGACAGCGCCAGAGAUGGCGUCUUCCUUCGGGACUGCUGCACAGGUGCUGCAUGGCUGUCGUCAGCUCGUGCCGUGAGGUGUUGGGUUAAGUCCCGCAACGAGCGCAACCCUUAUCGUUAGUUGCCAACAUUUUAGGUGGGAACUCUAACGAGACUGCCUGGGUUAACCAGGAGGAAGGUGAGGAUGACGUCAAGUCCGCAUGGCCCUUAUGUCUGGGGCUACACACGUGCUACAAUGGCCGGUACAAUAGGCAGCGAAACCGUGAGGUGGAGCAAAUCCCAAAAGCCGGCCCCAGUUCAGAUUGUAGUCUGCAACUCGACUACAUGAAGAUGGAAUUGCUAGUAAUGGCGAAUCAGCUACAUCGCCGUGAAUACGUUCCCGGGUCUUGUACACACCGCCCGU